RNAcentral lists this long non-coding RNA (1003 nucleotides) under Homo sapiens (human). Its description in RNAcentral is "non-protein coding lnc-OR6A2-1:1". The record is from RNAcentral. Lineage: Eukaryota; Metazoa; Chordata; Mammalia; Primates; Hominidae.
AUGGUGUUGGAGGCCAGCGACAUGGAAGAUGGGCAGCUUUCCAACCUGACUCAGAUUCCGACAUAAUGGUCACACCCAGCAACAGGCUGCAGCAAGUGUGGAAAGUGCUAGGUGGGGACAGUGCUUAUAAGGGCCUUCCAGAGCAGGGCGACUGCAUGUGCACCAGUAUCACAUUACCGAGUUGUUGAAAGUGUGGAUUCAAGUGAAGAGAGUUUUUCUGAUUCAGAUGAUGAUAGCUGUCUUUGGAAGUGGAAGUGAUGGAAAUAUGUAAACUCUCCUCCCAAACCAGAGUCUUUUCAGUUUGGCCAGAGCAGUCAGAAACCACCUGUUUCUGGAGGAAAGAAGGUUAACAACAUAUGGGGUGCUGUACUGCAGGAACAGAAUUAAGAUGCAGUGGCCACUGAACUUGGUAUCUUGGGAAUGGAGGGCACUAUUGACAGAAGCAGACAAUCCGAGACCUAUGAUUGUUUGCUUGCUAAGAAACUUAAGAGGGAAUCUCUAGAGCAUACGAAAGGGCUAGACAAACAACUAGCUGAAUAUAUGCAUGGUGGCAAAAACAAACAAACAAAAAAAUGGGAUCAAAGGAAGAGGAAAAGGGGCAAGGUCAUCUCAAAAGGAAAUGACCUGUCAAAGACAGGCUAGGGAACAGACCAGAACCAAAAAUGAACUAUAAAGGUUGAUACGAGAUCACAGAGGAAGAUUCCCAAGAGAAAGUGGCUGAUGAAAUGUUAUUCAGGUUACAGGAACCAAAGAAAGAUCCGAUGGCUCAAGCAGUGAGGAUUAUUGGGAACAAAAGGCAAUUGUUCUGCUGGAAACUGCUGAAGUAGAACAAAAUGGUGGCCUCUUUAUAAUGAAUAGUAGUUGAAGAGAACACCAGGUGGAGAUUUUCUGAAUCUCUUGAAAAACACUCCUAGUAUCAGCAAGGAACAAAUUAAGGAUGUUUUCUACAUAGAAAAUCAAAAGGAAUAUGAAAAUUAAAAAGCUGCUAGGAAGAGAACACAAU